UACGUAGGGGGCAAGCGUUGUCCGGAAUCAUUGGGCGUAAAGAGCGCGUAGGCGGCCCGAUAAGUCCGCUGUGAAAGUCAAGGGCUCAACCCUUGAAUGCCGGUGGAUACUGUCGGGCUAGAGUCCGGAAGAGGCGAGUGGAAUUCCUGGUGUGGCGGUGAAAUGCGCAGAUAUCAGGAGGAACACCAAUGGCGAAGGCAGCUCGCUGGGACGGUACUGACGCUGAGGCGCGAAAGCGUGGGGAGCAAACAGG
This 253-nucleotide ribosomal RNA is filed under the name uncultured bacterium. RNAcentral's name for it is "partial 16S ribosomal RNA". It matches the Rfam family "Bacterial small subunit ribosomal RNA", at positions 524 to 776 of the family's 1533-position model. The record is from RNAcentral.